RNAcentral lists this transfer RNA (68 nucleotides) under Lineus viridis. RNAcentral describes it as "tRNA-Ile". Lineage: Eukaryota; Metazoa; Nemertea; Pilidiophora; Heteronemertea; Lineidae. The record is from RNAcentral.
AACUUUACGCCGGUGGAACGGGCUACAUUGAUGGUGUAGAGCACAAAAUAGUUAUAUUUUUGAAGUUA